Cricetulus griseus (Chinese hamster) is the source of this 122-nucleotide ribosomal RNA. The record is from Ensembl. Lineage: Eukaryota; Metazoa; Chordata; Mammalia; Rodentia; Cricetidae.
ACCUACAGCCACACCACCCCGAAUGCACCCAAUCUUGUCAGAUCUUGAAGUUAUGCAGGGUUAGCCUGAGUUAAUACUUAGAUGGGAGAAUAUAAGUUCGAAUUUCCAAGGGGUAAAGAGUU